AGGACGAACGCUGGCGGCGUGCUUAACACAUGCAAGUCGAGCGGAAAGGCCCUUCGGGGUACUCGAGCGGCGAACGGGUGAGUGACACGUGAGCAACCUGCCCUUAGCUUCGGGAUAGCUCCGGGAAACCGGAAUUAAUACCGAAUAUGACUGCGGCUGACAUCAGCCACGGUGGAAAGUUUUUCGGCUAGGGAUGGACUCGCGGCCUAUCAGCUAGUUGGUGAGGUAACGGCCCACCAAGGCGACGACGGGUA
Molecule: ribosomal RNA, 254 nt
Filed under: uncultured bacterium
Lineage: Bacteria
Description: partial small subunit ribosomal RNA
Rfam family: Bacterial small subunit ribosomal RNA
Source: RNAcentral